UCCACGCUGUAAACGAUGAUUACUCGUUGUCGGCGAUAUACUGUCGGUGGCUAAGCGAAAGUGAUAAGUAAUCCACCUGGGGAGUACGAUCGCAAGGUUGAAACUCAAAGGAAUUGACGGGGGCCCGCACAAGCGGAGGAGCAUGUGGUUUAAUUCGAUGAUACGCGAGGAACCUUACCUGGGCUUAAAUGCAUAAUGACGUUCCGGGAAACCGGAAUUUCUUCGGACAUUUUGCAAGGUGCUGCAUGGUUGUCGUCAGCUCGUGCCGUGAGGUGUCGGGUUAAGUCCCAUAACGAGCGCAACCCCUAUUGUUAGUUGCCAUCAGGUCAUGCUGGGGACUCUAACGAAACUGCCCGCGUAAGCGUGGAGGAAGGUGGGGAUGACGUCAAAUCAGCACGGCCCUUACGUCCAGGGCUACACACGUGCUACAAUGGCCGGUACAGAGGGCAGCCAUCCCGUGAGGGAGAGCAAAUCUCAAAAGCCGG
This 485-nucleotide ribosomal RNA is filed under the name uncultured bacterium. RNAcentral describes it as "bacterial SSU rRNA". It matches the Rfam family "Bacterial small subunit ribosomal RNA", at positions 794 to 1285 of the family's 1533-position model. The record is from RNAcentral.